RNAcentral lists this long non-coding RNA (1321 nucleotides) under Dromaius novaehollandiae (emu). RNAcentral's name for it is "lncRNA (ENSDNVG00000003646.1)". The record is from RNAcentral. Lineage: Eukaryota; Metazoa; Chordata; Aves; Casuariiformes; Dromaiidae.
CCCGCCCCCCCAGGUGCAGCUUGGCCCGGUCGGUCCCCNCUCGGCGGGCUGCUGGGCGCUGGGGUUAUUUAAAACAGCGAGCGGAGAGCAAGGGCAGAGUGAUGCAAUCCUUUAAGCAUGGCUGGGAAUGCUGUGUACAUGAUGCAAUCUCGUGUAACUGUCAGUCAUGAAUUGAGUAAUCUGUUAAAGAUGUUCCUACAGUUUUUUUUAUUAUAAAGAAUAAUCUAUUUCUAUAAGAAAAUACAUAUGUAUAUUUUGGGAUCUAUGCAUUCUUGCUACAUUUGAAGCAUUAAUGAACAAUUUUAAUAAACUUUAUGACUAGGUUAAAAUGUAGCUUGUUUUAUUUGGAGGGCACGUUUAAAGGUAGGUUAAAGGCAGAGCUGAAAAUCUAGCUGAAUCUGGCCCAAUGCUGAGAUCCGGGACCAGGAUUUUUGUCGGUCUUUUGACUUUCGCUGUGACUCAGCAAAAAAAAAAAAAAAGAAAGAAAAAGGCGAAAAAACAAAAAAAUCCAAGAGAAACCCAGUACAGAGCAGAGCUGGGAACUUUAGCCAGUUCUUUCUUUUUGCCUCUUUUUAUUUCCUCUUACCACUUGCCUUAGCUGCUGCUUGGGUGUUGUUUGGGGAGGAGGUGUUUGUUUUGGGCUUUUUGCAAUUCUCCCUGUUCUCGAUGUGUAGAGUGAGAUACGCUGUCCAAACCAUGACCAGUAUUUGGCAGAGUAACUCCAAGUCCGAAGUGGGAGGGAGGAAGAAAAAAGCAAGGAAGGAAGCUUGAAAUGAUUUUUUUCCCCUUGAGGAGUGUCUGUUCUCCAMGUUACGAUUCAGCAUUUCUUAUGUUUGUAGUUUUCAGGAAUAAACAUGAGAACAUAGCAAUUCUGUUGGAUGUCGGUAAUUUGGUGGUUGCUCGGGAAGCUCACGUGAAACCCAGGCAGAGCCUGUGUUCUGCUGAAGGAACUGUUCUGCAUUUUUGACACUUAAGAUCAUAUCAUCCUCCGACAGAUUUCUCAUUCUGGAGGGAACUUGUGCAGCACUGUGCUUUUGUCGGAAAGAUGCAAUUACAGACAGGAAAACUGAGGACAUAAAUGCACCAAUUUUACUCUAGUCUCACAAAGAAUUUGUGAACAAUUCASAAAGAGAAUUCCUGAAUCCGUCCUUCUUAAUCUUGUGUUAGCCACAUAACUUACAUUUCAGGAACUUUGUAGCAGUUUUACAUGCAUAGAGGUCACAAAAUACCCUACUUUAAAAACAAGCAUACAAAAAAACCCCUUGCAAUUAAAAUAUUUUCUAGAAAAAAACAGUUUGGAAAUGAAUCUGAGAAAACUCCA